Molecule: small nuclear RNA, 196 nt
Organism: Gossypium arboreum
Lineage: Eukaryota; Viridiplantae; Streptophyta; Magnoliopsida; Malvales; Malvaceae
Rfam family: U2 spliceosomal RNA
About the family: U2 is a small nuclear RNA (snRNA) component of the spliceosome (involved in pre-mRNA splicing). Complementary binding between U2 snRNA (in an area lying towards the 5' end but 3' to hairpin I) and the branchpoint sequence (BPS) of the intron results the bulging out of an unpaired adenosine, on the BPS, which initiates a nucleophilic attack at the intronic 5' splice site, thus starting the first of two transesterification reactions that mediate splicing.
Source: Rfam
CCACCUUUCUCGGCCUUUCGGCUAAGAUCAAGUAUAGUAUCUGUUUUUGUCAGUUUAAUAUCUAAUACGUGAUCCAUUGGAUCACACGAUAUUAAAUUUAUUUUUUCAGUGGGAGAGUACAUCACUGUAGCUGGCUACUGGGGUUCUCGAGCGUUAUCCAGGUUUUGCACUACUGCUUGGGCCUGGCGCACCACAU